RNAcentral lists this ribosomal RNA (468 nucleotides) under uncultured bacterium. RNAcentral describes it as "partial 16S ribosomal RNA". It matches the Rfam family "Bacterial small subunit ribosomal RNA", at positions 28 to 507 of the family's 1533-position model. The record is from RNAcentral.
GACGAACGCUGGCGGCGUGCUUAACACAUGCAAGUCGAACGGAAAGGCCCUGCUUUUGUGGGGUGCUCGAGUGGCGAACGGGUGAGUAACACGUGAGUAACCUGCCCUUGACUUUGGGAUAACUUCAGGAAACUGGGGCUAAUACCGGAUAUGAUCUCCUGCUGCAUGGUGGGGGUUGGAAAGUUUCGGCGGUUGGGGAUGGACUCGCGGCUUAUCAGCUGGUUGGUGGGGUAGUGGCUUACCAAGGCUUUGACGGGUAGCCGGCCUGAGAGGGUGACCGGCCACAUUGGGACUGAGAUACGGCCCAGACGCCUACGGGAGGCAGCAGUGGGGAAUAUUGCACAAUGGGCGGAAGCCUGAUGCAGCAACGCCGCGUGCGGGAUGACGGCCUUCGGGUUGUAAACCGCUUUCGCCUGUGACGAAGCGUGAGUGACGGUAAUGGGUAAAGAAGCACCGGCUAACUACGUG